Molecule: ribosomal RNA, 253 nt
Filed under: uncultured bacterium
Lineage: Bacteria
Description: partial 16S ribosomal RNA
Rfam family: Bacterial small subunit ribosomal RNA
Source: RNAcentral
UACGAAGGGGGCGAGCGUUGUUCGGAAUCACUGGGCGUAAAGCGUGCGUAGGCCGUUUUGAAAGUCAGGAGUGAAAUCCCAGGGCUUAACCCUGGAAUUGCUUUUGAAACUUCAAGACUUGAAUCCCGGAGAGGAUAGCGGAAUUUCCAGUGUAGCAGUGAAAUGCGUAGAUAUUGGAAGGAACACCAGUGGCGUAAGCGGCUAUCUGGACGGGUAUUGACGCUGAGGCACGAAAGCGUGGGGAUCAAACAGG